AAGUCGUAACAAGGUUUCCGUAGGUGAACCUGCGGAAGGAUCAUUAAUGAAUGAAGUUUUUUGGGGUUUUUAAUCUCAAAAAAUAAUUCACCUUUUGUGCAUUGUUAUUAAGAUAUACUUUGGUUAGAGCUUUGAUUUCAUUUAUUGGAAUCAACUUCUUGUUAACUCUAUCCUUUCUGAGGACAGUUGGCUAUGAAGCGGCCUACCAAGGUUUUUUAUCAAACACAUUUAAUAUUUCUGACCUAAAAACAAAUAAUUAAAUCAUAACUUUCAACAACGGAUCUCUUGGCUCUC
RNAcentral lists this unclassified non-coding RNA (294 nucleotides) under fungal sp. Its description in RNAcentral is "partial internal transcribed spacer region". The stretch from base 1 to 46 matches the Rfam family "Eukaryotic small subunit ribosomal RNA", at positions 1786 to 1831 of the family's 1831-position model. The record is from RNAcentral. Lineage: Eukaryota; Fungi.